Molecule: unclassified non-coding RNA, 473 nt
Filed under: Hevea brasiliensis (rubber tree)
Lineage: Eukaryota; Viridiplantae; Streptophyta; Magnoliopsida; Malpighiales; Euphorbiaceae
Source: RNAcentral
GUUCACUCGCCUUGAAUUGAUAACCUCUGCUUCAACAGUGUAACAUCUAAAUCCACCAGCGAAAGUCGUCGCUGCCACACUUUUCUUGCAGGCAAGACUAGCAGGUCUCCAUCUCCGUUGCAAUCCUCACUAUUUUUCUUUCCUCUUUCUUCAACCUCCACAAAAUUAGUAACCCUAAGUCGAAACACCACCGACGGCCUCUGUGAGCCACCAGGGGCCGCCUCUCUUCUCCAUCCUCUCCGUCGUACCAACAAACCAUCUCUCCGCCUUUCGUUCGGGUGAAAAAAGAUCAGUGUCGCCUCUCUCUCUUACUCCAGUUUAAAACACUAGACUCCGACGAUCACCACCAUAAUAUCAACUUCGCUUUAUCCCUUCAGUAAUAACAACUUGAAAUGUGACGAUAAAGAGGUGUUCAUAUCCUGCUAAAGGUGAUAAUAAGUGUAUAGAAGAAGGAAAAAGGGGUUGGGGCAGGA